Molecule: ribosomal RNA, 614 nt
Filed under: uncultured fungus
Lineage: Eukaryota; Fungi
Description: eukaryotic LSU rRNA
Rfam family: Eukaryotic large subunit ribosomal RNA
Source: RNAcentral
GCAUAUCAAUAAGCGGAGGAAAAGAAACCAACAGGGAUUGCCCUAGUAACGGCGAGUGAAGCGGCAACAGCUCAAAUUUGAAAGCUGGCCUUCGGGUCCGCAUUGUAAUUUGUAGAGGAUGCUUUGGGUGAAACGCCAGUCUAAGUUCCUUGGAACAGGACGUCAUAGAGGGUGAGAAUCCCGUAUGUGACUGGAAAUGUUAACCUAUGUAAAGCUCCUUCGACGAGUCGAGUUGUUUGGGAAUGCAGCUCUAAAUGGGAGGUAAAUUUCUUCUAAAGCUAAAUAUUGGCGAGAGACCGAUAGCGCACAAGUAGAGUGAUCGAAAGAUGAAAAGCACUUUGGAAAGAGAGUUAAAAAGCACGUGAAAUUGUUGAAAGGGAAGCGCUUGCAAUCAGACUUGUUUAAACUGUUCGGCCGGUCUUCUGACCGGUUUACUCAGUUUGGACAGGCCAGCAUCAGUUUCGGCGGCCGGAUAAAGGCUCUGGGAAUGUGGCCUCCACUUCGGUGGAGGUGUUAUAGCCCAGGGUGUAAUACGGCCAGCCGGGACUGAGGUCCGCGCUUCGGCUAGGAUGCUGGCGUAAUGGUUGUAAGCGACCCGUCUUGAAACACGGACC